Molecule: ribosomal RNA, 275 nt
Filed under: uncultured Larkinella sp.
Lineage: Bacteria; Pseudomonadati; Bacteroidota; Cytophagia; Cytophagales; Spirosomataceae
Description: partial 16S ribosomal RNA
Rfam family: Bacterial small subunit ribosomal RNA
Source: RNAcentral
CCUACGGGUGGCUGCAGUAGGGAAUAUUGGGCAAUGGACGGAAGUCUGACCCAGCCAUGCCGCGUGCAGGAUGAAGGCGCUCAGCGUUGUAAACUGCUUUUAUCGAUGAAGAACGGUCAGGGUGCGCCCUGAUGUGACGGUAAUCGAGGAAUAAGCACCGGCUAACUCCGUGCCAGCAGCCGCGGUAAUACGGAGGGUGCGAGCGUUGUCCGGAUUUAUUGGGUUUAAAGGGUGCGUAGGUGGUUUGGUAAGUCUGAUUUGAAAGCUAGCUGCUU